CCUUUUGGACGGUGGAAGCCAGGUAACCAAGAUGUCGCCCGGGGGCUGUUAGUUCAGGUGGCGGAGUCCACUAGAAUCCACCACUGGAAGAUUUCUAACAUAGAGUAGUUGGUAAAUGCUAGGAUGCUAGAUUCUGUGCCCAGUGAUUGUGUUAUUCGUUUGGUUCUAAACUAAGAUUGUCUGGUGUUUUCCAUCUCGUGGCAAUUCAACUGAGCUCCAGGGAAAGGUAACCACGGCAGAGUGUGGGUUUGGAAGAGUGCGGCGCCCCAGCUAGCCAUGAAAAUUUAGGAGUGCUGAGCAGGUUUGGCAGCAGCCAGCUGCGGGGAGAGAGCUAUCUUGGAGAUCUGGAGAGGCCUUGGCAAAGAACAACAUUCGGGCUCAGUACCGGGCUGGGACAAGACUGAGACCACGAGCGGUGCCUAGCUGGCGAUAGCGUGUGCUGUAUUUUAUUUACUACGCACUUCAGAGAAGGAUUUUUAAUUUCAGAUUAUUUGCAUAUACUAAUGGGAAAUCUUUUUACUGCUGUUAUUUUUGUUGGGUUGUUUGAUUUUUUUUUUUUUAAAAGGCAGGGUCUUAGGUAGUCUAGGCUGGUCUCAAACUCUAUAUAGUAGACGCUGUUCUUCUUGCCUCUCCUCUCUCUAGUGCUGGGAUUACAGGUGUGCGCCACCAUACCCGGCAAAGCUAUUCUUCUUGCCUCCCCUCUCUCUAGUGCUGGGACACUAAAGAGACCGCCACACCUGCCCCUUAAAGUAUCCAAAACUAAAGUCCCACUGUUUCAUGCAUACUCUGAAGGUUCGACUGAAAAAUGUUCCCAUAGCCUGGGGCAUUUGGACACUUGGUCCCUAGCUGGUCGCUGUCUGGGGAGGUUUAGGUGGUAUAGCCUUGUGUGUCCCUGGAGGCGGACUUAGAAAUUAAAAAAUUAAAAACUUCCCAUCAGCUCCAUUUCCCUCUCUGCUUCCGGCUUGUGUUUGAAGAGGUGAGCGCUCAGCUUCGGGCACCUGUAGCCAUGUCUGCUGCUUGCCUCCUUGCCACGACAGGCUCAUUCCUCUGGAACCGUCAGCCCAAAUAAAUUUCUUGUAGAAGUUGCCUUAGUCAUAGUGCUUUAUCCCAGCAAGAAAAAAGUAAUCUACACACCUUUCUGUAAGCAGCCCGAAGGUGACUUUAAUGCCUUUUUUCACUGUGCUUGUGUCUUGAUCUCAGCCCAUUACAUUAGGUAUAGAAUUUGCUACCCCUAUUAUCAAAUCAAUGCUCAAAAACUUGCAUUCUGGGCUGGUGAGAUGGCUUAGUGGGUAAGAGCACCAAUUGCUCUUCCGGAGGUCAUGAGUUCAAAUCCCAGCAACCACAUGGUGGCUCACAACCAUCUAUAAUUAGAAACAAAUAAUAAAGAAUCUAUGGGCCAGAUGGAGCAGGAGAAAGGGAAAGAGGGGAGGGAAAAAAGUUAAAAAUUGGAAAAAAA
Molecule: long non-coding RNA, 1456 nt
Filed under: Mus musculus (house mouse)
Lineage: Eukaryota; Metazoa; Chordata; Mammalia; Rodentia; Muridae
Description: predicted gene, 57454
Source: RNAcentral